UACGUAGGGGGCAAGCGUUGUCCGGAUUUAUUGGGCGUAAAGAGCGUGUAGGCGGCCUGAAAGGUCAGCUGUGAAAACUCGAGGCUCAACCCUCGAGACGUCGUAGUAAACCAUCUGGCUAGAGUCCGGAAGAGGAGUGUGGAAUUCCCGGUGUAGCGGUGAAAUGCGCAGAUAUCGGGAAGAACACCCGUGGCGAAGGCGGCACUCUGGGACGGUACUGACGCUGAGACGCGAAAGCGUGGGGAGCGAACAGG
RNAcentral lists this ribosomal RNA (254 nucleotides) under uncultured bacterium. RNAcentral describes it as "partial 16S ribosomal RNA". It matches the Rfam family "Bacterial small subunit ribosomal RNA", at positions 524 to 776 of the family's 1533-position model. The record is from RNAcentral.